GAGGGUAUAGCUCAGUAGUAGAGUACCUGCUUAGCAUGCAGGAGGAUGCAUGAGGUCCUGGGUUCAAUCCCCAGUACCUCCA
Molecule: transfer RNA, 82 nt
Organism: Camelus ferus (Wild Bactrian camel)
Lineage: Eukaryota; Metazoa; Chordata; Mammalia; Artiodactyla; Camelidae
Rfam family: tRNA
About the family: Transfer RNA (tRNA) molecules are approximately 80 nucleotides in length.
Source: Rfam